This 88-nucleotide transfer RNA is filed under the name Candidatus Alcyoniella australis. RNAcentral describes it as "tRNA-Ser". It matches the Rfam family "tRNA". Rfam says of the family: Transfer RNA (tRNA) molecules are approximately 80 nucleotides in length. Their secondary structure includes four short double-helical elements and three loops (D, anti-codon, and T loops). Further hydrogen bonds mediate the characteristic L-shaped molecular structure. tRNAs have two regions of fundamental functional importance: the anti-codon, which is responsible for specific mRNA codon recognition, and the 3' end, to which the tRNAs corresponding amino acid is attached (by aminoacyl-tRNA synthetases). tRNAs cope with the degeneracy of the genetic code in two manners: having more than one tRNA (with a specific anti-codon) for a particular amino acid; and 'wobble' base-pairing, i.e. permitting non-standard base-pairing at the 3rd anti-codon position. The record is from RNAcentral. Lineage: Bacteria; Candidatus Lernaellota; Candidatus Lernaellaia; Candidatus Lernaellales; Candidatus Alcyoniellaceae.
GGAGGGAUGGCCGAGCGGCCGAAGGCGCCGGUCUUGAAAACCGGAGAACCGCAAGGUUCCGUGGGUUCGAAUCCCACUCCCUCCGCCA